Lathyrus oleraceus (garden pea) is the source of this 914-nucleotide long non-coding RNA. RefSeq lists it as uncharacterized. The transcript has 2 exons. The record is from RefSeq and is a predicted model, not a curated record. Lineage: Eukaryota; Viridiplantae; Streptophyta; Magnoliopsida; Fabales; Fabaceae.
GCUAUGUGGCCAUUAAUAUUUGAAUCGGUUGGAAGAUGUGAGUGGAAACACGUCAUUCGUUUUCAUGGACAACUAUGGCACGUCUUGUCCUCUACUAAGGACUCUCAACGUCUCUUUCUGCGUGGCAGGAGGACAGUGAAAAAUUUUCAUUAAAAAAAAGGGACCACAAAAUUAAAAGAAAAAGGCCUCAUUGUUUUUUCAAAAAAGAGGAUUUCUUCCUCUUCAUAAGAAAACACUUUAUUUCCACUGCAAAAAGAAAAAAAACCCACGAUAAUCUCCUUUCACUCUCGUUUUGGAACGGUACCCUUUCCAUAUCCGCAACCUCCAAAAACCCAAAACCAGCAUCACACAACCUCUGUUUUUCUUCAUCAGUGAGAGCCUUCCAACGCGCGACAUCCCUCUACCUUCCUUCACCAAAUAACCCCUCAAAUAUUCCUCCUUGAACAACCGCGAAACCACCGCCAAGCCAUUCCGGUGACGCUUUCGAAGAAGGCUCCACGCAUCAACUUCUUAUGCACAACCCAAGAUCCAAGCUCAACCGUCAAAGCUGAAAACCCCGUAGUAGUAGUACCGACAACUACGAUUUCUUCACUUUUCACUGCUAUACACAUCGUCGUUGCAAACUCAAAACUCACCAGAAGCUAGUGAACGUCCGAUUGUAUGUAUAUCGCUGGUUGCAUUAAGUUAACAACAAGGUGAUCCUGGUCGAGUGGUAAAGCUUAAGAUUGCAUUUCCAGGGUCACGGUUCAAUACCCUGGGUUGCGCUUUAGUUGCCCCAUCUUAUUUUAGUUUAUUCACUAUAUAUAUUAAUAAACACUUUUGGUUUAUUAUAGGAUCAUAAAUUUCAUCCUUGAUUAAUUUAGGUUCUAUUUUAGUAUUAACCCUUUUGAUUCUAUUUUAUUCUCAUUUUUCGA